GACGAACUGUCCUAACGUUGUUCGGAAUCACUGGGCUUAAGGGGCGCGUAGGCGGCUUGUCGCGUCGACUGUGAAAACCCGUGGCUCAACCAUGUGGUCUGCAGUCGAUACGGGCAGGCUAGAAUUCGGUAGGGGAGACUGGAAUUCCUGGUGUAGCGGUGAAAUGCGCAGAUAUCAGGAGGAACACCGGUGGCGAAGGCGGGUCUCUGGGCCGAUAUUGACGCUGAGGAGCGAAAGCGUGGGGAGCAAACAGG
RNAcentral lists this ribosomal RNA (254 nucleotides) under uncultured bacterium. RNAcentral describes it as "partial 16S ribosomal RNA". It matches the Rfam family "Bacterial small subunit ribosomal RNA", at positions 524 to 776 of the family's 1533-position model. The record is from RNAcentral.